UACGUAGGGUGCGAGCGUUAAUCGGAAUUACUGGGCGUAAAGCGUGCGCAGGCGGUUCGCCAAGUCAGGUGUGAAAUCCCCGGGCUUAACCCGGAAAGGUCAGCCGAUACUGCGGGGCUAGAGUGCAGAAGGGGCAACUGGAAUUCUCGGUGUAGCGGUGAAAUGCGUAGAGAUGCGGAGGAACACCGAUGGCGAAGGCAGCCCCCUGGGCCAAUACUGACGCUCAGGCACGAAAGCGUGGGGAGCAAACAGG
Molecule: ribosomal RNA, 253 nt
Filed under: uncultured bacterium
Lineage: Bacteria
Description: partial 16S ribosomal RNA
Rfam family: Bacterial small subunit ribosomal RNA
Source: RNAcentral